Molecule: ribosomal RNA, 254 nt
Filed under: uncultured bacterium
Lineage: Bacteria
Description: partial 16S ribosomal RNA
Rfam family: Bacterial small subunit ribosomal RNA
Source: RNAcentral
UACGAAGGGGGCGAGCGUUGUUCGGAUUUACUGGGCGUAAAGGGCGCGCAGGCGGUCGUGACAAGUCACUUGUGAAAUCUCCGGGCUUAACUCGGAACGGUCAAGUGAUACUGUCGGACUAGAGUACAGAAGGGGCAACUGGAAUUCUCGGUGUAGCGGUGAAAUGCGUAGAUAUCGAGAGGAACACCUGCGGCGAAGGCGGGUUGCUGGGCUGAUACUGACGCUGAGGCGCGAAAGCCAGGGGAGCGAACGGG